CUACAAGGUGAUUUAGAAUAUUCUCUGAAGUCUCCCCACUCAAACACAACACUUUCUAAAAUGCACUAAGAUGCAUUUUACAAACCGAGAGGGACCCAGAGAUGUUUCAUCAUCGAAAUAAGAAAAAGCAUAUAAUUUGUGAAAAAGUUGAAGGAGAUCAGGGCUCACACAACAACAACAAUAACAACAACAACUGGAUAAAUUAUUGGCUGCAGCGCUUGUACAAUGUGUUUAAAGAUAUUGGAUUUCCAACAAGUAGAAGCACUCAAACAAGAUAUUCGCCUCAGGAGAAAAAACAACAGAAGAAGACAAGGAAAAAGAAGAUUUUCUGGGGACUAUUUGAUUGCUUCUUGAGAAUUAUACAAGAGUGUCUUGAUUCUGAUGAUGAUUCUCAGGAUCAAAAGAGAAGCCCACUUCAAAUGGAAACUAAGACACAGCAGUAUAAGAGCUUUAAAGAAGAGAACACUUCCUCGAAGCACAACCAGAACGUUCCCACAAAAGUCACUACAAUCCAGGUCCAGUCCACUUGUAAGAAACAUCAGAAUGCAAUAUUACUUGGAUUCCCAAACGUCAAUAUGAUCUGCUACAUGAACGCCAGCCUGCAGACUUUGCUUACGCUCAAGGAGUUCGUGGAGGACAUCAAAUCCCAGGAGGACGUGUUGGCACUGUGUCCUGAGGCUCAGCUCAUGAGAUGCAUCCUAGACAUUGUGAAAUGUCACUGCUCACCUGAUUCCAGGUUGAAACUGGAGGUGGUUAUAAGGUUUAAGAAGGUCCUCUCUUUCCAGGCCCCAGAGUUUGGAUAUGAAGGCAUGAAAGACGCCCAUGAGUUCCUGACGGCUGUGUUGAAUCAGAUGAAGAACCUGCAGCCCCUUCUGACAAAGACUGCGGCCACUAUAGGGAAAAGAUACAGGUGCCCAGUUCAGACACAUCUACAGUUCAAAAUGCGGAACACAAGGAUGUGCAAAUGUUGUGGUAUUAAGUCUAUAAGAGAGGAGGAUUUCAUCAUGCUCUCUCUGGACCUAAUUGCUGGAGGGUCAGUGCAGAACAUGCUCAACAUGCACGAGAAGGAAAGACAGCUAGAGUUUAAGUGUGAGUGUGGAGGAAACACAUCAGGUCUGCAGUCUAGAUUUCUGACCCUUCCCAAAGAACCUGGUGAUGGUCAAACUGGAGGACCCCAUCGUUUUGUGCAGGGAAAUGACAGUAGCUGGCCACCAGGUACACAGAUUUGUACAACUCAAAACCAAAAAUUGAAAGUACAGCCUGGUCAGCGUCAUCAGCCACGUAGGUUCUUCGGCAAAGACAGGACAUUACGUGAGCGAUGGGCUAUACCCGGACCAGUCCAGGGAGGACGGGAACGAUCGAUGGCUCCACUUUAAUGACAUUUAUGUGAUGGAGACAAAUGGAACAGUCAUUUCUGAGAUGUGUACAGGGGAGUCUUAUAUCCUUGUCUACCGGAGGGGGGUGUAGCCCUCUCUGGUAUGAGGACGCAGCCCUCAGGAGGAGGGGCACACCCCAGAGAGCCUGGUUCCUCCCAAGGUUUCUUCCUAAAGGGGAGUUCUUCCUUGCCUCUGCUUGCCAAGUCACAAAUGUACUUUGUUACCAGAUUGGACUCCAAGUGACAAAACACAAUCUAAGUGGCUUGCUCUCUGGGAGUUAUAACAUUAAAAACUGUACAAACCCAGUUCAA
Xiphophorus couchianus (Monterrey platyfish) is the source of this 1687-nucleotide RNA transcript. It is a transcript of the gene named ubiquitin carboxyl-terminal hydrolase 29-like, with no coding region annotated. Lineage: Eukaryota; Metazoa; Chordata; Actinopteri; Cyprinodontiformes; Poeciliidae. The record is from RefSeq and is a predicted model, not a curated record. The transcript has 15 exons.